GGGGAUGUUUGGUAUUGACAGGGUAGGACCCUGUGUAGUUGCACGUCGAGCCGCCCAGUCUCGUUAAAGGGGCACCGGCAUAACUGCCAACAACAUCAGCGCUCCGUCGUUCUCACGAACGACCGCGUUCGCUGCCUAACUAAUAGGUAGCCGUUUACCACCUCUCGCCCGGCCGGGUGAGUAAACGCAAACGCCGGGACGCUCCGAGGGAACUGAUUCCGCACCUCGGCUAAGCUAAGGAAAAUCGCUGGAUGAACGCUUUGUCAGGCGUGUGCGCAUCCGGUUAAAAUAAACGACUGACUACACGUGUAGAUGCUCGCAGUUCGCCUAUUUUGGACGGGGGUUCGACUCCCCCCAUCUCCACCA
Molecule: transfer-messenger RNA, 366 nt
Filed under: Roseiflexaceae
Lineage: Bacteria; Bacillati; Chloroflexota; Chloroflexia; Chloroflexales
Also listed under: 2 other names
Description: UBA965 sp003670675 Standard tmRNA
Rfam family: transfer-messenger RNA
About the family: Bacterial tmRNA, also known as 10Sa RNA or SsrA, is named for its dual tRNA and mRNA-like properties. Its role is to liberate the mRNA from a stalled ribosome.
Source: RNAcentral